AAGAACUCUCUCUCUCUCAACUCUCUCCACUAAAAGCUUGAAACCCUAACUCCGGUCCGGCGCUCGCCGGUACCGGAGGUCGUCCUUCUCAACCCUUUCUCCUUUUCCUUUUGCUUUUCCUUUCUUCUGUUUGACUUCUCCAUGGCCGAUAUGCAUGUUGUUCUGAGUCUGUCGGUGCUGCGUCGAGUUUCAAUCGAACAAAGACGGGUUCAAUCGGCGUUUUUUGGAAGAACGGCGAGGCUACGGAGCAACAGAGGUGGAAAGGUCGGCUUUUAGGGCUGGAUUGAGAACCAGAUCUGGGUUUUCCUUUUUCCAGAUCUAGGGCUUCUCUUCCUCGGCGGCGGCGCGUGACUCAGUGGGGAGCAUCUUCCGCCUCGUGCGACGGUGAGAGGCCGGAGGAUCGACGUGACGGCAGCUGAAGAUGGUCAUGUUUCUCGGUUCUCGGGAACAGCGUGACGCAGAGCCUUGUUUUGUCAGAGUGGUCAGCUGAUGAAGCGAGUUCUGUAGCUGGUUCGCGGUGAGGCUCAGCUUCCCAGUGUCGGCGGCGGUUCCUCCACCUUGUCGACAGCGGAGCCCACACCAUUGGAAGCUUGAAUACUGUACCAGUUUCGAUGCUUCCGCCAAGGCCCGACUUUUAUUUUCCCCAGCACGGAUUGUUUCCGUUGGCUGGCGAUGGAGUGAGGCAUGGUCGCUGGUGAAGCUACUCCGGUCAAGAAUGCAUCGCUUCGGUGUUGAGGUGUUGGUCCAAGUACUGAACUCAUAUCCCUUGGUGACUGGCACUUGGUUUUAUUAGGUUAAUCUUGAUUAGGAAUAGCUAAUAUCCGGGCUUAUGUUUUUCACUGGUGUGGUAGAAUGUUAGGGGUUGAAGAGACAGCUCUUUGUCUGUGACAGAGCUUGUUCUCACUGGGUUUAAUUACAUCAAAGUAUAAAAUUCGGUAGUCUAUGAUCCAAUCUAGUGAUCUUUUGAUGGUACUGAAUCACUUUGUAUGUAAAAGUGGUUGCGGUUCUCGGGAACAGCGUGACGCAGAGCCUUGUUUUGUCAGAGUGGUCAGCUGAUGAAGCGAGUUCUGUAGCUGGUUCGCGGUGAGGCUCAGCUUCCCAGUGUCGGCGGCGGUUCCUCCACCUUGUCGACAGCGGAGCCCACACCAUUGGAAGCUUGAAGACUGUACCAGUUUCGAUGCUUCCGCCAAGGCCCGACUUUUAUUUUCCCCAGCACGGAUUGUUUCCGUUGGCUGGCGAUGGAGUGAGGCAUGGUCGCUGGUGAAGCUACUCCGGUCAAGAAUGCAUCGCUUCGGUGUUGAGGUGUUGGUCCAAGUACUGAACUCAUAUCUCUUGGUGACUGGCACUUGGUUUUAUUAGGUUAAUCUUGAUUAGGAAUAGCUAAUAUCCGGGCUUAUGUUUUUCACUGGUGUGGUAGAAUGUUAGGGGUUGAAGAGACAGCUCUUUGUCUGUGACAGAGCUUGUUCUCACUGGGUUUAAUUACAUCAAAGUAUAAAAUUCGGUAGUCUAUGAUCCAAUCUAGUGAUCUUUUGAUGGUACUGAAUCACUUUGUAUGUAAAAGUGGUUGAAAUCCUUGUGGUUAAAAAUCAUGUAAUCCCCCAAUUGGUAAAUGAAAAGUUGAUGUUGAGCCAAAAAAAAAAAAAAAAGAGGAUGAAGUCAAUCGUAUUGUCUGCAAAUAUGUAUCUAAUUCACUGAAACAAAUACAAAUCAAUCAUAAACAUAGGUCUACGUAGUUGACAGGCC
RNAcentral lists this long non-coding RNA (1743 nucleotides) under Brassica napus (rape). RNAcentral's name for it is "long non-coding RNA (BNAP_LNC002009)". The record is from RNAcentral. Lineage: Eukaryota; Viridiplantae; Streptophyta; Magnoliopsida; Brassicales; Brassicaceae.